This 748-nucleotide ribosomal RNA is filed under the name uncultured Bacteroidota bacterium. RNAcentral describes it as "bacterial SSU rRNA". It matches the Rfam family "Bacterial small subunit ribosomal RNA", at positions 577 to 1329 of the family's 1533-position model. The record is from RNAcentral. Lineage: Bacteria; Pseudomonadati; Bacteroidota.
GGGCCAGUAAGUCAGAGGUGAAAGGCCACGGCUCAACCGUGGGACUGCCUUUGAUACUGCUGGUCUUGAGUUAUAGUGGGGUUGCCGGAACAUGUGGUGUAGCGGUGAAAUGCAUAGAUAUCACAUAGAACACCGAUCGCGAAGGCAGGUGGCCAACUAUAUACUGACGCUGAUGGACGAAAGCGUGGGGAGCGAACGGGAUUAGAUACCCCGGAUAGUCCACGCCGUAAACGAUGGAUACUAGCUGUGGGGUUUUCGGACUCUGUGGCCAAGCGAAAGUGAUAAGUAUCCCACCUGGGGAGUACGUUCGCAAGAAUGAAACUCAAAGGAAUUGACGGGGGCCCGCACAAGCGGUGGAGCAUGUGGUUUAAUUCGAUGAUACGCGAGGAACCUUACCAGGGCUUAAAUGCAGUAUGACAGAUUCAGAGAUGGAUUUUUCUUCGGACAUAUUGCAAGGUGCUGCAUGGUUGUGGUCAGCUCGUGCCGUGAGGGUGUCAGGUUAAGUCCUAUAACGAGCGCAACCCCUGCCGUUAGUUGCCAGCAUGUAAAGAUGGGGACUCUAACGGGACUGCCGGUGCAAACCGAGAGGAAGGUGGGGACGACGUCAAAUCAUCACGGCCCUUACGUCCUGGGCUACACACGUGCUACAAUGGCCGGUACAGAGGGAAGCCACCCCGUGAGGGGGCGCGGAUCUACAAAGCCGGUCACAGUUCGGAUCGGGGUCUGCAACUCGACCCCGUGAAGCUGG